Molecule: ribosomal RNA, 433 nt
Filed under: uncultured bacterium
Lineage: Bacteria
Description: partial 16S ribosomal RNA
Rfam family: Bacterial small subunit ribosomal RNA
Source: RNAcentral
AGCGAACGCUGGCGGCAGGCUUAACACAUGCAAGUCGAGCGGACCUUUCGGGGUCAGCGGCGGACGGGUGAGUAACGCGUGGGAACGUGCCUUCCGGUUCGGAAUAACCCUGGGAAACUAGGGCUAAUACCGGAUACGCCCUUAUGGGGUUAGGUUUACUGGCGGAAGAUGGGCCGGCGUGUGAUUGGCUGGUUGGUGGGGUAAGGGCCAACCAAGGCGAGGAGCAGUGGCUGGUCUGAGAGGAUGAUCAGCCACACUGGGACUGGGACACGGACCAGACUCCGACGGGAGGGAGCAGAGGGGAGUAUUGGAGAAUGAGCGCAAGUCUGAUCCAGCCGUGCCGGGUGAGUGAUGAAGCGCUUAGGGUUGUAAAGCUCUUUUAUCCGAGACGAUAAUGACGGUACCGGAGGAAUAAGCCCCGGCUAACUUCGUG